This is an RNA transcript of Exaiptasia diaphana, 1037 nucleotides long. RefSeq lists it as uncharacterized. The record is from RefSeq and is a predicted model, not a curated record. The transcript is spliced from 2 exons. Lineage: Eukaryota; Metazoa; Cnidaria; Anthozoa; Actiniaria; Aiptasiidae.
GUACUUURAAUAAAUCAUUAUGUCGAAAGUGUUCGUUAUUUUAUACCGAUUCUUUCCUAGAACCAACCAUUGUAUACAAACUGAAAGGGAGGCCAGAUACUAGUUUGUCUGUUUGAAACAGUACAAUGUCCACAUUGAAUGCAGAAAGCCACCCUCAAGGACAAGUUGUUGGAAACCGUAUAUACUAUGGCAACAACAGUAGCUAUGGUCUGUCCUGUUCCUUUGGUCCCUACACUAGACAAAAAGCUUUUAGCAUCAUAUUUUGCRUUUUGUUUAUAUUUGCAAUGGGUGUAUUGAAUUUGGCAUUGGGUAACCUUAUUGGCGGUCUGGUGUUUCUUGCUGUUAGCAUUAUGAUGUUGUCUAUUUUUAUCUGGUGCUGUUAUAGACACAGAACRCRCAAUCCAGGAAUGCAGCCCAGUGUGACCUUUAACCAUGUUCCUGGACAAGCAAUACCAGGACAGAACCAAAGUCCAAUGUAUCCAGCUGUGCAUAUAUACCCUCCUCAGCAACAUACAGCCCAGCCAUACCCAACACAGCAACAUUAUACCCCACCCUACCCUUCACAAAGUUACCCUAGUCAUGUAACCCAAGCACAGCACCCCACACAGACACCAUCAAUGUCAGCAGUACCAACACAAGGUGUACAAGCUCCUCUACAACCAAUGGGAGAGCCUUUGGCCCAGCCUCCACCAACAUAUGAGGAAUCUAUGGCUUUGACACAGAAAUAAUGAUAAUUUAUUCACUGUUUUUUGUUUCUUUUGAGUUUUUUUUGCCAUUUUUGUAUUUUUUUACAGAUUAUUGAAUUAAUGGAAAUUGUUGUCUAAACGACAUCAUAAUAUAAAAAUUAGAUAACACAUAGCGGAGCUCCAAUCAAUGCAGAAGAAAAUUAUUAUUUAGUACUACUAUUUCAAGGAUAGCCUUAUAGYAGAGUAGAGAAUGCUGUUUUGUUGACAUGCAAACAAAUAUUAUAAACUUAGCAAAAGAGUAYGAAUAUGAAAAUUUCGUACUCUGAAUAAUUUAUUAACAUAAGUUAUUAC